CCUACGGGGGGCAGCAGUAGGGAAUCUUCCGCAAUGGACGAAAGUCUGACGGUGCAACGCCGCGUGAGCGAAGAAGGUCUUCGGAUCGUAAAGCUCUGUUGUUAGGGAAGAACAAGUACGGGAGGAAAUGACCGUACCUUGACGGUACCUGACGAGGAAGCCACGGCUAAAUACGUGCCUGCAGCCGCGGUAAUACGUAGGUGGCUAGCGUUGUGCGGAAUUAUUUGGCGUAAAGCGCGCGCAGGCGGUCUUUUAAGUCUGAUGUGAUAUCUUGAGGCUCAACCGGAAGCGGUCAUCGUAGACUGGGAUGCGUGAGUGCAUAAGGGGAAAGCGGAAUUCCACGUGUAGCGCUGAAAUGCGUAGAGAUGUGGCGGAUCACCAGUCGCGAAGGCGGCUUUCUGGUCUGUAACUGACGCUGAGGCGCGAAAGCGUGGGGAGCAAACAGGAUUAGAUACCCCAGUAGUC
RNAcentral lists this ribosomal RNA (465 nucleotides) under uncultured bacterium. RNAcentral's name for it is "bacterial SSU rRNA". It matches the Rfam family "Bacterial small subunit ribosomal RNA", at positions 338 to 795 of the family's 1533-position model. The record is from RNAcentral.